RNAcentral lists this ribosomal RNA (449 nucleotides) under uncultured bacterium. RNAcentral's name for it is "partial 16S ribosomal RNA". It matches the Rfam family "Bacterial small subunit ribosomal RNA", at positions 29 to 523 of the family's 1533-position model. The record is from RNAcentral.
AACGAACGCUGGCGGCAUGCCUAACACAUGCAAGUCGAACGAGAUCUUCGGGUCUAGUGGCGCACGGGUGCGUAACGCGUGGGAAUCUGCCCUUUGGUUCGGAAUAACAGUUGGAAACGACUGCUAAUACCGGAUGAUGACGAAAGUCCAAAGAUUUAUCGCCAGAGGAUGAACCCGCGUAGGAUUAGCUAGUUGGUGUGGUAAAGGCGCACCAAGGCGACGAUCCUUAGCUGGUCUGAGAGGAUGAUCAGCCACACUGGGACUGAGACACGGGCCAGACUCCUACGGGAGGCAGCAGUGGGGAAUAUUGGACAAUGGGCGAAAGCCUGAUCCAGCAAUGCCGCGUGAGUGAUGAAGGCCUUAGGGUUGUAAAGCUCUUUUACCCGGGAUGAUAAUGACAGUACCGGGAGAAUAAGCUCCGGCUAACUCCGUGCCAGCCGCCGCGGUAA